RNAcentral lists this ribosomal RNA (460 nucleotides) under uncultured bacterium. Its description in RNAcentral is "partial 16S ribosomal RNA". It matches the Rfam family "Bacterial small subunit ribosomal RNA", at positions 338 to 795 of the family's 1533-position model. The record is from RNAcentral.
CCUACGGGAGGCAGCAGUGAGGAAUAUUGGUCAAUGGCCGUAAGGCUGAACCAGCCAAGUAGCGUGAGGGAAGACUGUCCUAUGGGUCGUAAACCUCUUUUAUGCGGGGACAAAGGCGUCCACGUGUGGCCGGUUGUAGGUACCGCAUGAAUAAGCAUCGGCUAAUUCCGUGCCAGCAGCCGCGGUAAUACGGAAGGUUCGGGCGUUAUCCGGAUUUAUUGGGUUUAAAGGGAGCGUAGGCCGGUCUUUAAGCGUGCCGUGAAAUUUUGUGGCUCAACCAUGAGAGUGCGGCGCGAACUGGAGGCCAUGAGUGCGCGGAAGGCAGGCGGAAUUCGUGGUGUAGCGGUGAAAUGCUUGGAUAUCACGAAGAACCCCGAUUGCGAAGGCAGCCUGCCGCAGCGUUACUGACGCUGAAGCUCGACAGCGCGGGUAUCGAACAGGAUUAGAUACCCGAGUAGUC